AACGAACGCUGGCGGCAUGCCUAACACAUGCAAGUCGAACGAGACCUUCGGGUCUAGUGGCGCACGGGUGCGUAACGCGUGGGAACCUGCCCUUAGGUUCGGAAUAACUCCCCGAAAGGGGUGCUAAUACCGGAUAAUGUCUUCGGACCGAAGAUUUAUCGCCUUUGGAUGGGCCCGCGUUGGAUUAGCUAGUUGGUAGGGUAAAAGCCUACCAAGGCGACGAUCCAUAGCUGGUCUGAGAGGAUGAUCAGCCACACUGGGACUGAGACACGGCCCAGACUCCUACGGGAGGCAGCAGUGGGGAAUAUUGGACAAUGGGCGAAAGCCUGAUCCAGCAAUGCCGCGUGAGUGAUGAAGGCCUUAGGGUUGUAAAGCUCUUUUACCCGGGAUGAUAAUGACGGUACCGGGAGAAUAAGCUCCGGCUAACUCCGUG
This 433-nucleotide ribosomal RNA is filed under the name uncultured bacterium. RNAcentral describes it as "partial 16S ribosomal RNA". It matches the Rfam family "Bacterial small subunit ribosomal RNA", at positions 29 to 507 of the family's 1533-position model. The record is from RNAcentral.